GGAGAUAGCUCAGUUGGUAGAGUGCUUGCCUUGCAUGCAAAAGGCCCUGGGCUCAAUCCCUAGCACCA
RNAcentral lists this transfer RNA (68 nucleotides) under Marmota monax (woodchuck). RNAcentral describes it as "tRNA.Ala". It matches the Rfam family "tRNA". Rfam says of the family: Transfer RNA (tRNA) molecules are approximately 80 nucleotides in length. Their secondary structure includes four short double-helical elements and three loops (D, anti-codon, and T loops). Further hydrogen bonds mediate the characteristic L-shaped molecular structure. tRNAs have two regions of fundamental functional importance: the anti-codon, which is responsible for specific mRNA codon recognition, and the 3' end, to which the tRNAs corresponding amino acid is attached (by aminoacyl-tRNA synthetases). tRNAs cope with the degeneracy of the genetic code in two manners: having more than one tRNA (with a specific anti-codon) for a particular amino acid; and 'wobble' base-pairing, i.e. permitting non-standard base-pairing at the 3rd anti-codon position. The record is from RNAcentral. Lineage: Eukaryota; Metazoa; Chordata; Mammalia; Rodentia; Sciuridae.